This 253-nucleotide ribosomal RNA is filed under the name uncultured bacterium. RNAcentral's name for it is "partial 16S ribosomal RNA". It matches the Rfam family "Bacterial small subunit ribosomal RNA", at positions 524 to 776 of the family's 1533-position model. The record is from RNAcentral.
AACGUAGGUGGCAAGCGUUAUCCGGAAUUACUGGGCGUAAAGGGUGCGUAGGCGGGUCUUUAAGUCAGGGGUGAAAUCCUGGAGCUCAACUCCAGAACUGCCUUUGAUACUGAAGAUCUUGAGUUCGGGAGAGGUGAGUGGAACUGCGAGUGUAGAGGUGAAAUUCGUAGAUAUUCGCAAGAACACCAGUGGCGAAGGCGGCUCACUGGCCCGAUACUGACGCUGAGGAGCGAAAGCGUGGGGAGCGAACAGG